RNAcentral lists this ribosomal RNA (452 nucleotides) under uncultured Pseudomonas sp. Its description in RNAcentral is "bacterial SSU rRNA". It matches the Rfam family "Bacterial small subunit ribosomal RNA", at positions 930 to 1382 of the family's 1533-position model. Lineage: Bacteria; Pseudomonadati; Pseudomonadota; Gammaproteobacteria; Pseudomonadales; Pseudomonadaceae. The record is from RNAcentral.
CGGUGGAGCAUGUGGUUUAAUUCGAAGCAACGCGAAGAACCUUACCAGGCCUUGACAUGCAGAGAACUUUCCAGAGAUGGAUUGGUGCCUUCGGGAACUCUGACACAGGUGCUGCAUGGCUGUCGUCAGCUCGUGUCGUGAGGUGUUGGGUUAAGUCCGUAACGAGCGCAACCCUUGUCCUUAGUUACCAGCACGUUAUGGUGGGCACUCUAAGGAGACUGCCGGUGACAAACCGGAGGAAGGUGGGGAUGACGUCAAGUCAUCAUGGCCCUUACGGCCUGGGCUACACACGUGCUACAAUGGUCGGUACAAAGGGUUGCCAAGCCGCGAGGUGGAGCUAAUCCCAUAAAACCGAUCGUAGUCCGGAUCGCAGUCUGCAACUCGACUGCGUGAAGUCGGAAUCGCUAGUAAUCGUGAAUCAGAAUGUCACGGUGAAUACGUUCCCGGGCCUU